This 550-nucleotide ribosomal RNA is filed under the name Sciocoris homalonotus. RNAcentral describes it as "partial large subunit ribosomal RNA". It matches the Rfam family "Bacterial large subunit ribosomal RNA", at positions 1799 to 2617 of the family's 2925-position model. Lineage: Eukaryota; Metazoa; Arthropoda; Insecta; Hemiptera; Pentatomidae. The record is from RNAcentral.
GUUGUUUUACAAAACAUGUCUUAAUGGUAAAAUUAAUAUUAAGUCUGGCCUGCUCAAUGAUUAAUUAAAUAGCCGCAGUAUUUUGACUGUGCGAAGGUAGCAUAAUCAUUUGUCUUUUAAUUGAAGGCUUGUAUGAAUGGUUGGAUGAGGGAAUAACUUUCUUUAUAUUGAAAAGUUGAAUUUAAUCUUUAGGUUAAAAAGCUUAAAUUUUUAAAUGGGACGAGAAGACCCUAUAGAAUUUUAUUAUUUUAUAAAGUUAUAGUGUUUUGGUUAUUUAAUAUUUUAAUUUUAUGGAUAAUUUUGUUGGGGUGACAGUGAGAUUUUUUUAACUCUCUUAUCUUAUAUUUUAUAGAUUUAUAUAUUUUAUGAUCCUUAUUUUGAGAUUAUUAGAUUAAAUUACCUUAGGGAUAACAGCGUAAUUUUUCUGGAGAGUUCUUAUCGAUAGAGAAGUUUGCGACCUCGAUGUUGGAUUAAAAUUAGAUUUAAGUGCAGAAGCUUAAUUUCUAGGUCUGUUCGACCUUUAAAUUUUUACAUGAUUAAUUUUCAACCC